CCUACGGGAGGCAGCAGUGAGGAAUAUUGGUCAAUGGACGAGAGUCUGAACCAGCCAAGUAGCGUGAAGGAUGACUGCCCUAUGGGUUGUAAACUUCUUUUAUAUGGGAAUAAAAUGUUCCACGUGUGGGAUUUUGUAUGUACCAUAUGAAUAAGGAUCGGCUAACUCCGUGCCAGCAGCCGCGGUAAUACGGAGGAUCCGAGCGUUAUCCGGAUUUAUUGGGUUUAAAGGGAGCGUAGGUGGAUUGUUAAGUCAGUUGUGAAAGUUUGCGGCUCAACCGUAAAAUUGCAGUUGAAACUGGCAGUCUUGAGCACAGUAGAGGUGGGCGGAAUUCGUGGUGUAGCGGUGAAAUGCUUAGAUAUCACGAAGAACUCCGAUUGCGAAGGCAGUUCACUGGACUGCAACUGACACUGAGGCUCGAAAGUGUGGGUAUCAAACAGGAUUAGAGACCCGAGUAGUC
RNAcentral lists this ribosomal RNA (460 nucleotides) under uncultured bacterium. RNAcentral's name for it is "partial 16S ribosomal RNA". It matches the Rfam family "Bacterial small subunit ribosomal RNA", at positions 338 to 795 of the family's 1533-position model. The record is from RNAcentral.